GACGAACGCUGGCGGCGUGCCUAAUACAUGCAAGUAGAACGCUGAAGGAGGAGCUUGCUUCUCCGGAUGAGUUGCGAACGGGUGAGUAACGCGUAGGUAACCUGCCUGGUAGCGGGGGAUAACUAUUGGAAACGAUAGCUAAUACCGCAUAAGAGUAGAUGUUGCAUGACAUUUGCUUAAAAGGUGCAAUUGCAUCACUACCAGAUGGACCUGCGUUGUAUUAGCUAGUUGGUGGGGUAACGGCUCACCAAGGCGACGAUACAUAGCCGACCUGAGAGGGUGAUCGGCCACACUGGGACUGGGACACGGCCCAGACUCCUACGGGAGGCAGCAGUAGGGAAUCUUCGGCAAUGGACGGAAGUCUGACCGAGCAACGCCGCGUGAGUGAAGAAGGUUUUCGGAUCGUAAAGCUCUGUUGUAAGAGAAGAACGAGUGUGAGAGUGGAAAGUUCACACUGUGACGGUAUCUGACCAGAAAGGGACGGCUAACUACGUG
This 495-nucleotide ribosomal RNA is filed under the name uncultured bacterium. Its description in RNAcentral is "partial 16S ribosomal RNA". It matches the Rfam family "Bacterial small subunit ribosomal RNA", at positions 28 to 507 of the family's 1533-position model. The record is from RNAcentral.